AGUGCAUUCUCUGCGCCUCCAGGCUGUUGUCAUGUUCACGGAGCUGAUCAGGGAGAACUUCAGGAACAGCAAACUGAAGCAGUGCCUGCUGCCGCCACUGGGGGAGCUGCUCUACCUCAUCGCCACACAGGAGGAGAAGAAAGAGCACCCAGGAGAGCUGUGGGUUGUUCCUGCUGCCGCCUACACGGUGUUAAUGAGGUGCCUUCGGGAAGGGGUAAGACUGCUGCACCUGCCUCAGCAGGAGGGAGGGAGGGGGGUGGGGGAGUUCCGCGGUAAUGAUCCUCCUGCAAGACCCUACAGGCAUUGUUUGCCAACUGCAAGUCAAGGGCAUGCAGCAGACCCAGUCGUCAGCCCCUGUCAUGUACCUGCAUCAAAACAACCCCCGGAUGGAUGGGUCCUUGUCAUGACCUCACUGGCAAUUAACGACCGGUGGAUACACACACGUACACACACAUACACACUCUGUAUGUAGGCUGUGUGUAGUGCAGUAGUGUGUCAGUCAGCCAGAUAGUCCGUUUGGCCAGAGGACUGUUGUUCCUCAGCUGGUGCAUCUGUUCUUCUUAAUUACAAAACUGAGUUUGUUUCAAAAGACGAUGUCUCUUCUCCCAGAAGGGAGAGUUGGUAUUACGUGUUCAUUAUAAACUAAUUAGCAGAACUUUUAGGCUGGCCAGCGUAUAUACCAAUAUGGAGCAAGAUUAUUCACAAGAUUUGUGAGUUGGGUGGGGGCAAAUAUAAUUUAGUUGUCAAUUUAAGUCUGAUGCCAUCUACUGUAAUUUCAUUGAAAGGAUUAGCCUAAAAAUAGGUUUUGUCCAGACAGUUUACACCAAAUUUGUGAAUUCUGAUCCAUAAUCUCCAGUCUUCUAUUUAAAACAUAUGAAUAAUAAAGGUGUAAUGGAUCCUG
Non-coding RNA from Salvelinus sp. IW2-2015, 901 nucleotides. The record is from RefSeq and is a predicted model, not a curated record. NCBI's taxonomy places the organism in Eukaryota, Metazoa, Chordata, Actinopteri, Salmoniformes, Salmonidae.